RNAcentral lists this ribosomal RNA (383 nucleotides) under uncultured bacterium. Its description in RNAcentral is "bacterial SSU rRNA". It matches the Rfam family "Bacterial small subunit ribosomal RNA", at positions 28 to 407 of the family's 1533-position model. The record is from RNAcentral.
GACGAACGCUGGCGGCGUGCCUAACACAUGCAAGUCGAACGGGGUUGCGGGAGCUUGCUUCUGCAGCUUAGUGGCGAACGGGUGAGUAACGCGUGAGGAACCUGCCUUUCAGUGGGGGACAACAGUUGGAAACGACUGCUAAUACCGCAUAAUGUGCUUAGGGGGCAUCCCCUGAGUACCAAAGCUUUAUGUGCUGAAAGAUGGCCUCGCGUCUGAUUAGAUAGUUGGUGGGGUAACGGCCUACCAAGUCGACGAUCAGUAGCCGGUCUGAGAGGAUGAACGGCCACAUUGGGACUGAGAUACGGCCCAGACUCCUACGGGAGGCAGCAGUGGGGAAUAUUGGGCAAUGGGGGAAACCCUGACCCAGCAACGCCGCGUGAAGG